This 85-nucleotide transfer RNA is filed under the name Felis catus (domestic cat). It matches the Rfam family "tRNA". From Rfam's summary of the family: Transfer RNA (tRNA) molecules are approximately 80 nucleotides in length. Their secondary structure includes four short double-helical elements and three loops (D, anti-codon, and T loops). Further hydrogen bonds mediate the characteristic L-shaped molecular structure. tRNAs have two regions of fundamental functional importance: the anti-codon, which is responsible for specific mRNA codon recognition, and the 3' end, to which the tRNAs corresponding amino acid is attached (by aminoacyl-tRNA synthetases). tRNAs cope with the degeneracy of the genetic code in two manners: having more than one tRNA (with a specific anti-codon) for a particular amino acid; and 'wobble' base-pairing, i.e. permitting non-standard base-pairing at the 3rd anti-codon position. Lineage: Eukaryota; Metazoa; Chordata; Mammalia; Carnivora; Felidae. The record is from Rfam by way of RNAcentral.
GCCUGGGUGGCUCAGUUGGUUAAGCCUCUGACUUGGGCUCAGGGCAUGAUCUUACAGUUCAUGGGUUCAAGUCUCAUAUCAGGCU